RNAcentral lists this ribosomal RNA (115 nucleotides) under Octodon degus (degu). Lineage: Eukaryota; Metazoa; Chordata; Mammalia; Rodentia; Octodontidae. The record is from RNAcentral.
GUCUACAGCUAUACCACCCUGAAAGCGCCCAAUCUCAUCUGAUCUCAGAAGCUAAACAUGGUUGGGCCUGGUUAAUGCUUGGAUGAGAGACCAGCCCUAAAAUGGCAUUGAAACA